CACGUAGGGUCCGAGCGUUGUCCGGAUUUAUUGGGCGUAAAGGGCCUGUAGGCGGCUUGAUAAGUCGGGUGUGAAAACUCCGGGCUCAACCCGGAGACGCCACCCGAUACUGUUAUGGCUUGAGUCUGGUAGGGGAGUGCGGAAUUCCUGGUGUAGCGGUGAAAUGCGUAGAUAUCGGGAGGAACACCUGUGGCGAAAGCGGCGCACUGGACCACUACUGACGCUGAGGCGCGAAAGCUAGGGGAGCAAACAGG
This 254-nucleotide ribosomal RNA is filed under the name uncultured prokaryote. Its description in RNAcentral is "partial 16S ribosomal RNA". It matches the Rfam family "Bacterial small subunit ribosomal RNA", at positions 524 to 776 of the family's 1533-position model. The record is from RNAcentral.